This 253-nucleotide ribosomal RNA is filed under the name uncultured bacterium. RNAcentral describes it as "partial 16S ribosomal RNA". It matches the Rfam family "Bacterial small subunit ribosomal RNA", at positions 524 to 776 of the family's 1533-position model. The record is from RNAcentral.
UACGUAGGGCGCAAGCGUUAUCCGGAAUUAUUGGACGUAAAGAGCUCGUAGGCGGUUUGUCGCGUCUGCCGUGAAAGUCCGGGGCUCAACUCCGGAUCUGCGGUGGGUACGGGCAGACUAGAGUGAUGUAGGGGAGACUGGAAUUCCUGGUGUAGCGGUGAAAUGCGCAGAUAUCAGGAGGAACACCGAUGGCGAAGGCAGGUCUCUGGGCAUUAACUGACGCUGAGGAGCGAAAGCAUGGGGAGCGAACAGG